RNAcentral lists this transfer RNA (84 nucleotides) under Myxococcales bacterium. Its description in RNAcentral is "tRNA-Leu". It matches the Rfam family "tRNA". Rfam says of the family: Transfer RNA (tRNA) molecules are approximately 80 nucleotides in length. Their secondary structure includes four short double-helical elements and three loops (D, anti-codon, and T loops). The record is from RNAcentral. Lineage: Bacteria; Pseudomonadati; Myxococcota; Myxococcia; Myxococcales.
GCGGAAGUGGCGGAACUGGCAGACGCGCUAGACUAAGGAUCUAGUGGGGUAAAACUCGUGGAGGUUCGAGUCCUCUCUUCCGCA